ACGAGGAAGUAAGAACGGUGCAAGCUGAGCAGAGGUUUUGGUUCAGAAAACCACAUUAAAACUUUUAGAACUUCUCUUACGUCCUGUUAAUUAUGUUAUAGCUUAUAAUUAUUUAUCUUUUUAUCACUCCGCCUAUUCAGUUCAUUUAUUUUUAAUAUUAUUCGUUUUGCACUUUCCAUUGUUGAGUGAGAUCGGGAACAGAGUGUGAGGCGGGAGAAUUGAAAGUUCCAGAAACAAUUCAUUACCGUUUUGACUUGAAUGAUGUCUGAGUUACAAAAAGAGAUUAAGUAAACCUUACUGUGAGUAAUACCAGGCCUUCGUGACGAGCCACUCAAUCAGUCAGUUGAGAAAUGUGUAGGCUGAGGAGUAGAAGAUUUAAUGUACGUGAAAGAAGAGGACUUCUUAAGAGUUCAUACAACCUGUCCAGUGCCAAACUGUUCACAUGAACAAAGAAGCAGCAUUUUGGUUCAGUAAUUAGUUUGACCUAUAGGUCUCCUCAAAAUUCACCACAAAUGAGCUCCUCAGUAAGAUGGACUCACGCUUCAAGCACAUACGAUUUAUUGACAUCAACCCUGAACAAAUGUCCAAGGCCAAUCAAGGAAAAGCUACAUCCAAGAAGACUAGCCAAGUAGUCCAUAACAAGAAGAACGCAGUAAACCCUCAUUUUUCCUAUCCACUUUGUAAGGUAAUGGACUUUGAACGGAAUUCAUCCAAGACCACUUUGUUCACUUUUACUUUUGACAGUUUAGGCAAUUUUUGUCUAACAUGGUGUUCUUAUUCUAUUUUAAUGUGAAAGUCAACAUUGGUAUUAUACUUUUAAAUUUAGUAUUGAAUGCUGCACUAUGUUUAUUGCCAGUGUUUCCCACCUCUGUUGCAACCAUUUGUGUUUAUCUGAAAUAAUGAAAGACUGCUAACAAUUAAAAAAACUGGUAAUGUAAAAAGCUAAUCAAGACCAUAAAAAUAAAUGUUUAUUGGAAUGUUUCAAAUGAAAGAAGCAUUAUUUGUUUAAAUUAAUCUGUAAGUAAAUAUUGCAGAAUAAUGUCCUUAUCAAUGCUGCAGUGACACUAUAAAAUGGUAUUCACAGCAAGCCCAAUGUAAAAAUACAAUACAUAACUAUAGAAAAUACAGUUCUAACAUUUUCUCAUGUAUCAUACUGUAUUAUGAAAUGACAGUGUAAUACUGUAAAUGUUAAC
Polypterus senegalus (gray bichir) is the source of this 1193-nucleotide long non-coding RNA. RefSeq lists it as uncharacterized. The record is from RefSeq and is a predicted model, not a curated record. The transcript has 4 exons. Lineage: Eukaryota; Metazoa; Chordata; Cladistia; Polypteriformes; Polypteridae.